GUACACGCUGUGACUAGCAUAUCAAUAAGCGGAGGAAAAGAAACCUAACAAGGAUUCCCCUAGUAACGGCGAGUGAAGCGGGAAGAGCUCAAAUUUGAAAUCUUAAAGGGUUUCCCUUUACGAAUUGUAGUUUAAAGAAGUGUUUUCUGUUGAGGUUUUGGUAAAAGUUCUUUGGAAUAGGACAUCAUAGAGGGUGAGAAUCCCGUAUUUGACCUUUACUUUCAACUUUGUGAUACACUUUCAAAGAGUCGGAUUGUUUGGGAAUGCAGUCCAAAAUGGGUGGUAAAUUUCAUCUAAAGCUAAAUAUUGGCGAGAGACCGAUAGCGAACAAGUACCGUGAGGGAAAGAUGAAAAGAACUUUGAAAAGAGAGUUAAACAGUACGUGAAAUUGUCAAAAGGGAAGCGUUUGACACCAGUGUUGUUUUUCUGAAAAUCAAUUAAAGAACUGUUUAUGCUAAGCUUGUUUAGACUUUAUCAGCUAUCUGUUUAGUUUUAGGCUUUUCUUUAAUGCACUUUUCAGUUAACAAGUCAACAUCAAUUUCUUUUGCUGUAAAAAAGCUUGAGGAAGGUGGCUUGAGAUUCGUCUUAAGUGUUUAUAGCCUCUUGCCUAUGCAGUCGGAGAGAUUGAGGUCUGCAGCGUAGAUCCUUCGGGGCUAAAUGCAUUUGUGCUAAGUUAUAGCAUUUUAUAGACAACUUGUUGACUAUGAUUUGUCUUGUAGCUUACUCGCUUAUGUUAUUUUACCUACGCUUAGGAUGUUGAGUCGUAGAGCACGCAG
This 776-nucleotide ribosomal RNA is filed under the name uncultured Neocallimastigales. Its description in RNAcentral is "partial large subunit ribosomal RNA". It matches the Rfam family "Eukaryotic large subunit ribosomal RNA", at positions 22 to 628 of the family's 3401-position model. Lineage: Eukaryota; Fungi; Neocallimastigomycota; Neocallimastigomycetes; Neocallimastigales. The record is from RNAcentral.